RNAcentral lists this ribosomal RNA (345 nucleotides) under uncultured bacterium. RNAcentral's name for it is "bacterial SSU rRNA". It matches the Rfam family "Bacterial small subunit ribosomal RNA", at positions 8 to 334 of the family's 1533-position model. The record is from RNAcentral.
AGGGUUUGAUUAUGGCUCAGGAUGAACGCUGGCGGCGUGCCUAACACAUGCAAGUCGAACGGAACUUCUUUGACAGAAUUCUUCGGAAGGAAGUUGAUUAAGUUUAGUGGCGGACGGGUGAGUAACGCGUGAGUAACCUGCCUUUGAGAGGGGAAUAACUUCCCGAAAGGGAUGCUAAUACCGCAUGAUGCAUAGAAGUCGCAUGGCUUUUAUGCCAAAGAUUUAUCGCUCAAAGAUGGACUCGCGUCCGAUUAGCCAGUUGGCGGGGUAACGGCCCACCAAAGCGACGAUCGGUAGCCGGACUGAGAGGUUGAACGGCCACAUUGGGACUGAGACACGGCCCAG